CAGGGCAUCCAUGUCUUGUAAUUGGAAUGAAUAGAAUGUAUACCCUUUUAUGAGUAUCAAUUGGAGGGCAAGUCUGGUGCCAGCAGCCGCGGUAAUUCCAGCUCCAAUAGUGUAUAUUAAAGUUGUUGCGGUUAAAAAGCUCGUAGUUGGAUUUCUGCCAAGGCUGGCCGGUCCGCCCUUUGGGUGAGUAUCUGGCUUGGCUGGAGCAUUUUCUUGGAGGGCAUUGCUGCACUUGACUGUGUGGUAUGCAACCCAAGACUUUUACUUUGAGGAAAUUAGAGUGUUUCAAGCAGGCUCACGCCUUGAAUACAUUAGCAUGGAAUAAUAAGAUAAGGCCUUGGUUGUAUUUUGUUGGUUUCUAGAAUUGAGGUAAUGAUGAACAGGGAUACUUGGGGGCAUACGAAUUUAAUUGUCAGAGGUGAAAUUCUUGGAUUUGUUAAAGACGGACUACUGUGAAAGCAUUUGCCAAGAAUGUUUUCAUUUAUCAAGAAUGAAAGUUAGGGGGUCGAAGAUGAUCAGAUACCGUCUUAGUCUUAACCAUAAACUAUGCCGACUAGAGAUUGGAGGUUGCUAUCUAUACGACUCCUUCAGCACCUUAUGGGAAAUCAAAGUCUUUGGGUUCCGGGGGGAGUAUGGUUGCAAGGCUGAAACUUAAAGGAAUUGACGGAAGGGCACCACCAGAAGUGGAGCCUGCGGCUUAAUUUGACUCAACACGGGGAAACUUACCAGGUCCAGACAUAGUAAGGAUUGACAGAUUGAUAGCUCCUUCUUGAUUCUGUGGGUGGUGGUGCAUGGCCGUUCUUAGUUGGUGGAGUGAUUUGU
RNAcentral lists this ribosomal RNA (822 nucleotides) under uncultured dinoflagellate. RNAcentral describes it as "SSU rRNA". It matches the Rfam family "Eukaryotic small subunit ribosomal RNA", at positions 486 to 1314 of the family's 1831-position model. Lineage: Eukaryota; Dinophyceae. The record is from RNAcentral.